Molecule: non-coding RNA, 46 nt
Organism: Trichoderma atroviride IMI 206040
Lineage: Eukaryota; Fungi; Ascomycota; Sordariomycetes; Hypocreales; Hypocreaceae
Source: Rfam
CAUGUGGCUUUAUUCAAAGCCACCUCUGGGAUAAUUUCAAAUUCUC